UACAGAGGGUGCAAGCGUUAAUCGGAAUUACUGGGCGUAAAGCGCGCGUAGGCGGUUCGUUAAGUUGGAUGUGAAAUCCCCGGGCUCAACCUGGGAACUGCAUUCAAAACUGUCGAGCUAGAGUAUGGUAGAGGGUGGUGGAAUUUCCUGUGUAGCGGUGAAAUGCGUAGAUAUAGGAAGGAACACCAGUGGCGAAGGCGACCACCUGGACUGAUACUGACACUGAGGUGCGAAAGCGUGGGGGGCAAACAGG
Molecule: ribosomal RNA, 253 nt
Filed under: uncultured bacterium
Lineage: Bacteria
Description: partial 16S ribosomal RNA
Rfam family: Bacterial small subunit ribosomal RNA
Source: RNAcentral